AUUGAACGCUGGCGGCAUGCUUUACACAUGCAAGUCGAACGGUAACAGGCCUUCGGGUGCUGACGAGUGGCGAACGGGUGAGUAAUGCAUCGGAACGUGCCCAGAGGUGGGGGAUAACGCAGCGAAAGCUGUGCUAAUACCGCAUGUGAUCUGAGGAUGAAAGCGGGGGACCAGGCAGCAAUGUUUGGCCUCGCGCCUUUGGAGCGGCCGAUGUCAGAUUAGGUAGUUGGUGGGGUAAAGGCCUACCAAGCCGACGAUCUGUAGCUGGUCUGAGAGGACGACGGGCACCCCGGGGAGUGGGCCACGCCCCGGCCCCCGCGGGGAGGAGCGGUGGGGAAUUUUGGAAGAAGGGCGCCAGGCCGAACCCAGCAAGCCGGCGGGGGGAAAGAGGCCUUGCGGUUUUAAACCCGUUUUUAUCGGAAACAAAAGGGCUCUGCUAAAUCCCGGGGGCUGAUGGGGGAACGUAAAAAAAAACCCCGGACAAACUCGGUC
Molecule: ribosomal RNA, 492 nt
Filed under: uncultured bacterium
Lineage: Bacteria
Description: partial 16S ribosomal RNA
Rfam family: Bacterial small subunit ribosomal RNA
Source: RNAcentral